This 326-nucleotide long non-coding RNA is filed under the name Olea europaea (common olive). RNAcentral's name for it is "long non-coding RNA (OEUR_LNC014952)". Lineage: Eukaryota; Viridiplantae; Streptophyta; Magnoliopsida; Lamiales; Oleaceae. The record is from RNAcentral.
AGUAGCAAGUAGAGUACAUUCAACAUGAAUACUACAUAAUCAUACUUACAAGUGGAACAAUGUGAAUUUGAAGCCAAUUCUUCUGUAGGCCCGAAUUUCACAUGUAGUACUAUAACUCCUAUCCAUCUUUAAUAACAUAUCAUAUUUGAACUCAUAACAUAAUUGAACGUAAGAAGAUACUCAAAUAACUUUGAUAACUCUUAACUUCGUCCAAUUUUUCUCAAAAAAAUUGCGUGAGCACUAGGGGCAGGAAGAGAUGGCGAAUUGAGUGGUAUAUACUCACACACAUACACUUGGUAUUAGGUUUUAGGGGGAAUAAUUUUUUU